CUGGGAUGAUGUAACUUAGCCAAAUCAUACGUCGAUAUGCUCCAGGAGGCGUUUUCUCCUUUACCUUUGUUCUUACUGGGGAGGCCGUGCGUCUCUCUUUUAGGGAGAUGGUAAGGCUUUGGAAAUUCGCCUUCUGUUGAAGCGUGUCCUCUCUGAUGAUAAAAUCGAGAUUUGGUGCUGGCUGACCAGA
Small nucleolar RNA from Argentina anserina (silverweed cinquefoil), 190 nucleotides. RefSeq annotates it as small nucleolar RNA snoR127. The record is from RefSeq and is a predicted model, not a curated record. NCBI's taxonomy places the organism in Eukaryota, Viridiplantae, Streptophyta, Magnoliopsida, Rosales, Rosaceae. The transcript has a single exon.